GAUGAACGCUGGCGGCGUGCCUAAUACAUGCAAGUCGAGCGGAAAGGCCUCUUCGGAGGUACUCGAGCGGCGGACGGCUGAGUAACGCGUAAGAACGUACCCCAAACUGAGGGAUAACUGCUCGAAAGAGUAGCUAAUACCGCAUGUGCUCUACGGAGUAAAGCUUCGGCGGUUUGGGAACGGCCUGCGUAAGAUUAGCUUGUUGGUAAGGUAAUGGCUUACCAAGGCGACGAUCUUUAGCUGGUCUGAGAGGAUGAUCAGCCAGACUGGGACUGAGACACGGCCCAGACUCCUACGGGAGGCAGCAGUAGGGAAUUUUCCACAAUGGGCGAAAGCCUGAUGGAGCAACGCCGCGUGCAGGAUGAAUGCCUUCGGGUUGUAAACUGCUUUUAUAAGUGAAAAAUAUGACGGUAACUUAUGAAUAAGGAUCGGCUAACUCCGUGCCAGCAGCCGCCGUAA
RNAcentral lists this ribosomal RNA (459 nucleotides) under uncultured bacterium. Its description in RNAcentral is "partial 16S ribosomal RNA". It matches the Rfam family "Bacterial small subunit ribosomal RNA", at positions 28 to 523 of the family's 1533-position model. The record is from RNAcentral.